RNAcentral lists this ribosomal RNA (793 nucleotides) under uncultured Pelagibacteraceae bacterium. RNAcentral describes it as "bacterial SSU rRNA". It matches the Rfam family "Bacterial small subunit ribosomal RNA", at positions 45 to 886 of the family's 1533-position model. Lineage: Bacteria; Pseudomonadati; Pseudomonadota; Alphaproteobacteria; Candidatus Pelagibacterales; Candidatus Pelagibacteraceae. The record is from RNAcentral.
CGCCUAACACAUGCAAGUCGAACGAAGUAGCAAUACUUAGUGGCAGACGGGUGAGUAACAUGUGGGUAUCUACCCUUUGGCCUGGAAUAACACGAGGAAACUUGUGCUAAUACCGGAUAAGUCUUUACGGAGAAAGCUUUAUGCACCAUUGGAUGAGCCUGCACUUGAUUAGUUUGUUGGUGGGGUAAUGGCCUACCAAGACUGUGAUCAAUAGCUGAUUUGAGAGGAUGAUCAGCCACAUUGGGACUGAGACACGGCCCAAACUCCUACGGGAGGCAGCAGUGGGGAAUCUUGCACAAUGGAGGAAACUCUGAUGCAGCGAUGCCGCGUGAGUGAAGAAGGCCUUUGGGUUGUAAAGCUCUUUCGUCGGGGAAGAAAAUGACUGUACCCGAAUAAGAAGGUCCGGCUAACUUCGUGCCAGCAGCCGCGGUAAUACGAAGGGACCUAGCGUAGUUCGGAAUUACUGGGCUUAAAGAGUUCGUAGGUGGUUGAAAAAGUUGGUGGUGAAAUCCCAGAGCUUAACUCUGGAACUGCCAUCAAAACUUUUCAGCUAGAGUAUGAUAGAGGAAAGCAGAAUUUCUAGUGUAGAGGUGAAAUUCGUAGAUAUUAGAAAGAAUACCAAUUGCGAAGGCAGCUUUCUGGAUCAUUACUGACACUGAGGAACGAAAGCAUGGGUAGCGAAGAGGAUUAGAUACCCUCGUAGUCCAUGCCGUAAACGAUGUGUGUUAGACGUUGGAAAUUUAUUUUCAGUGUCGCAGCGAAAGCGAUAAACACACCGCCUGGGGAGUACGAC